UCCGGUUUGUCACCGGCAGUCUGGCGCGAGUCCCCAACUUAAUGAUGGCAACACGCCACGGGGGUUGCGCUCGUUGCGGGACUUAACCCAACAUCUCACGACACGAGCUGACGACAGCCAUGCACCACCUGUACACCGACCACAAGGGGGACCCUGUCUCCAGGGUUUUCCGGUGUAUGUCAAGCCUUGGUAAGGUUCUUCGCGUUGCGUCGAAUUAAAGAACAUGCUCCGCUGCUUGUGCGGGCCCCCGUCAAUUCUUUUGAGUUUUAGCCUUGCGGCCGUACUCCCCAGGCGGGUCACUUAAUGCGUUAGCUUCGGCACGGGAGGAGUCGACACCUCCCACACCUAGUGACCAUCGUUUACGGCGUGGACUAC
RNAcentral lists this unclassified non-coding RNA (375 nucleotides) under uncultured Actinomycetes bacterium. RNAcentral's name for it is "uncultured actinobacterium contains 16S-23S intergenic spacer region". Lineage: Bacteria; Bacillati; Actinomycetota; Actinomycetes. The record is from RNAcentral.